GACAGAGGGUGCAAACGUUGUUCGGAAUUACUGGGCGUAAAGCGCGUGUAGGCGGCUAUGCAAGUCGGGCGUGAAAUCCCUCGGCUCAACCGAGGAAGUGCACUCGAAACUGCGUAGCUAGAGUCUCGGAGAGGAAGGUGGAAUACUUGGUGUAGAGGUGAAAUUCGUAGAUAUCAAGUGGAACACCGGUGGCGAAGGCGGCCUUCUGGACGAUGACUGACGCUGAGACGCGAAAGCGUGGGGAGCGAACGGG
This 253-nucleotide ribosomal RNA is filed under the name uncultured bacterium. RNAcentral describes it as "partial 16S ribosomal RNA". It matches the Rfam family "Bacterial small subunit ribosomal RNA", at positions 524 to 776 of the family's 1533-position model. The record is from RNAcentral.